CUGACCUCACCCAACUCUGGGAGCCAGGAUGGGCCAUUCCCCCACCUGCGUGCAGUCUCGGAGUCCCAAGACCUGGGCAGGGACCAGUAGCUCAAUGAACGCAAACCCAGCUGGUGCCAGCCUGGCGGCAAGUGGAAAAUGUCCCAGCACGUUAUGAAUGGGGUGGCCACAGGUCGGUUAGAAGCAUAGUUGUCUAUAGUGACCAAAGCUUUACAUUUGUAAUCAGCUGAAACAAUCACAUUAUUUUCCUGGGAGUGUCAUGGUUGGCCAUACAAGCUCCCCACCUCCGCCUCUGCUUUUUUGGCUGAUGACCUCACGAGCCCUGACUUCCAUCCUUCCAUCCCCGGCAGCUGCCCUCUGAUCCUUCGAGGGUUUUCCGGGCGCUCCGCAUGCAGCUCUUGGCAGAAGACACUGAGUCACAUGGCAGGUGACUGGUGUUUUCUGACUCAUGGGAUGGAAAGAAAUGCGACACAUAGCGGCAGCACAGAGGGCCUCCAUUGCCAAUUGAGGGAACCUCUCAGAUGGGAGGUGACUCAUCUGGACGGCCUGGCCUGUUCAAGUGCAGCUUCCCAGGGGACACUCACUCCCCAGGGAGGAGAGCGGCUUCUCAGAUGCAGCCCAGAGCCAGCCCUCCAGGGCAGUGGAGCCCUGGUCCACGGCAGAGAGGUGCCUAAGGCCAGCUCGGUGCAGAAGAUGCAUGCACAUCAUCUAAAGCUCCUGAGCCCCACACAGUCCCACCCUGACGCCCCCCAAAAUAAAUAG
RNAcentral lists this long non-coding RNA (762 nucleotides) under Cavia porcellus (domestic guinea pig). RNAcentral's name for it is "lncRNA (ENSCPOG00000030654.1)". Lineage: Eukaryota; Metazoa; Chordata; Mammalia; Rodentia; Caviidae. The record is from RNAcentral.